Molecule: long non-coding RNA, 301 nt
Filed under: Elaeis guineensis (African oil palm)
Lineage: Eukaryota; Viridiplantae; Streptophyta; Magnoliopsida; Arecales; Arecaceae
Description: long non-coding RNA (EGUI_LNC070277)
Source: RNAcentral
GGUAGGAUCUUUUGAAAUACUUGAUUUAUUUUUUUUGAUAGUUUUAUGAUGUAAAUUGCUAUCAAUAGUGUGGAUUUUUUGUUUAAAAUAUCCAUUGUUGGUUGGUUUUGCAUUAGUUGUAUGAAGGGGCUUGAUCCUUUUGAAAGGAAAAUUGCAUGAAACUUUUAUUGAAAUUUCACUUUAUAGAAAAAUCUUCAAUUAAUACUAAACUAAAGAAUAAAUAAAGCAAAGUUACUCAAGCCCCGAAAAGGACUGCUAACAUAAAAAUAUUCAUUGUUGGUUUUGCAUUAAAAGGAGGGAG